GAUGAAGAACGUAGUGAAAUGCGAUAAGUAAUGUGAAUUGCAGAAUUCAGUGAAUCAUCGAAUCUUUGAACGCACCUUGCGCCCCUUGGUUAUUCCAAAGGGCAUGCCUGUUUGAGUAUCAUGAACACCUCAACUCUUGUGGUUUCCCACAAUGAGCUUGGACUGUGGAGGUUUUGUUGGCCCUGUGGUCAGCUCCUCUCAAAUGGAUCAGCUUACCGGUGUUUGGUGGCAUUACGGGUGUGAUAACUAUCUACGCUCGUGGUCGUCUCCAAAUAACCUCCAGUGAUGGAGGUUCGCUGGAGCUUAUAAAUGUCUCUCCCCAGUGAAGACAGCCUUUGAACGUUCGAUCUCCAAUCAGGUAGGACUACCCGCUGAACUUAAGCAUAUCAAUAAGCGGAGGA
Molecule: unclassified non-coding RNA, 401 nt
Filed under: soil metagenome
Description: partial contains 5.8S ribosomal RNA, internal transcribed spacer 2, and large subunit ribosomal RNA
Rfam family: 5.8S ribosomal RNA (bases 1-121)
Source: RNAcentral